This 424-nucleotide ribosomal RNA is filed under the name uncultured bacterium. RNAcentral's name for it is "bacterial SSU rRNA". It matches the Rfam family "Bacterial small subunit ribosomal RNA", at positions 355 to 776 of the family's 1533-position model. The record is from RNAcentral.
UAAGGAAUAUUGGUCAAUGGACGCAAGUCUGAACCAGCCAUGCCGCGUGCAGGAUGACUGCCCUAUGGGUUGUAAACUGCUUUUGUACGGGAAGAAACCUCUCUACGUGUAGAGAGUUGACGGUACCGUAAGAAUAAGGAUCGGCUAACUCCGUGCCAGCAGCCGCGGUAAUACGGAGGAUCCAAGCGUUAUCCGGAUUUAUUGGGUUUAAAGGGUGCGUAGGCGGCCUAUUAAGUCAGUGGUGAAAGCCUGGAGCUUAACUCCAGAACUGCCAUUGAUACUGAUGGGCUUGAGUACAGUUGAGGUAGGCGGAAUGUGUCAUGUAGCGGUGAAAUGCUUAGAUAUGACACAGAACACCGAUUGCGAAGGCAGCUUGCUAAACUGUAACUGACGCUGAGGCACGAAAGCGUGGGUAGCAAACAGG